GGCUUUUUGUGGGAUGCGUGAAUGGCUGCCCCUAUGUAUUUUGUUGCACUUCUCCAUUGCUUCUUGUGUUCUGGUGGGAACCUUGGUGAUUCUUCUCAAUUGCUACCUGAGCUGUGUCUGUGCUGGUUGCUGCUCAUCUCCCAGGGCCUUGUGCUGGCUGGUCAUGUCUCUACCUCCUUGGCACUGCCCCUUGGCAGAACCGUGGUCCCUGGUUGGCUGCCUCUAAACCCUUGUGAGGGUGGGGAAUAUUCCUCCCCCUGCUGCUACAAUUGAGCUCUGUGCUGGGUACCACAGAGCCCUCUACACCUGCUUUCAGUUGCUAAGGCAUCCCGAGCUUUGGCUGUGGCUCCGUGGUCCUGCUGUCCAAACCCUAAAA
This 376-nucleotide long non-coding RNA is filed under the name Rattus norvegicus (Norway rat). RNAcentral describes it as "long non-coding RNA NONRATT015320". Lineage: Eukaryota; Metazoa; Chordata; Mammalia; Rodentia; Muridae. The record is from RNAcentral.